Molecule: long non-coding RNA, 4959 nt
Filed under: Panax ginseng (ginseng)
Lineage: Eukaryota; Viridiplantae; Streptophyta; Magnoliopsida; Apiales; Araliaceae
Description: long non-coding RNA (PGIN_LNC016640)
Source: RNAcentral
UAAUUUCAUUUAUUAAUAUUUUUCAUACCGAGCCAGUUAGACCGGUUACAUAAAUAAUAUUUUAAUUUUCUUAACCUUUCACAGUUUUAGUUUAUUCCCCCAAAUAGAUCUCAGACCCAUCCUCGAAAGCUUAAACCAUUCUCUGCAUCCCAACCAUCUCCGAUCCAUCCUCUCCCACCGGCCACUAUCACUGAUCCAUCUUCUGACUCCUCUUCAAUAGUUUCUCGUUUCUCGUUUCUCAUUUCUCGUUUCUCUUCAAAGGAUUCAGUUGUCUCUUCACUCGCCAGUCGCCGAAUCCAAAAAUUUCUGAGGUAAUUUUUCUACCAAUUGGGCUCGGAUGGUAUAUAAACUGAGUUUAUUUUGAGCUUUAGUCAAUGAAUUUAUCUCUACGUAUGUGGAUUUGUCUAUGUAUGGGUGUUUACUGUUUAGGGCUUUAUUUUUAUUUUGUAGUAGUGCUUGAUGAUUUAUAGUUUUUGAUGAUAUUUUCAUAUUUUGGUUAUAUUCUUUGCCCUCGAGUAUGGCCAUUAUAGUUGUUAUUGGUACAAUUAUAUGUUAUGUUUAUACUUCUUCUUCUUCUUCAUGUGGUUGUGCUUUCGUAUCUGCUAUUAUGAAAUUUGAUUAUAAAGCUAUAUAGGUUUUGCUUAUCAAUUAAUUAUCUUCUUUAUUCAAUUGUUUGGAAAGUUGAUACUCACUCAGUUCCAAAAUACAAAAUUGACAUCAUCCAUUUAAUUUUUGAAAAUAAUAAACCUUUUGAAUAGUUUGUAAUAUUCCUAAUUAUAUUGAUUAAAUUUAAACGGAUUUAUACCAAUUUUGAAUUUAAAAAUGUUUCAUAGAUGGAUUUAAAGAAAGUAUCCUUGCCGUAUGGUUCUUGGCCGUAACUCUUGCCUUAUGGUUUCCAUGAGGUGGAAGGGUUCGAUUAUUUCAAUUCUUGGGUGUGUGAGUGUGGUGUGUGGGUGUGUGGAAAUUUGUUAAAAAAAAGAAAAAAAGAAAAAAAAGCAUCCUCAUCUGACAAAAGUUCGUGAAAACAUUACUUAGCCGUGAAGUACUAAUAAUAUAAAUAUUAGUACUUUUUAUGGUCCCUUUUCCAAGUUUCAGAUGCUAGCUGGAACUGUUUUGAACCUAGAUUUAUUUGCAUUCAUUUGUUCAGUUGAGGACUAAAAGAUUUUUCAGAUGAGUAAAUCUUUGAAAAUUUUGAGCUUAAAUGUGGUUGCUUUAUGGAUGGCCAAUCGAUCAUAUUUACCCAACAUCUGAUGCUGCCUUGAUGCACAACUACGCGAGCUAAUUUCCGAUUGCUUAAUGUCAUUAGAGUUUUGAUAAAAGUACCACUCAGACCCUUUGUUUGUUGGUUUAGUGGUGUCUAAUUGCAUUUGCUAGAACAGCACUACAGUUUCAGCUGAUGGUUCUUGCUCAAAUGUAAAAGGAUAAUUUCCAAGCAUAUAAUUUUUCUUUUGUAUUCCUUAACUAUUUUAUAUAUGCUUGUGCUCCAUCAUAGCAAGAUGAUUGCACUUCACAUAAGAGUAUUUGAUUUUCUUUAUAUUAGUGAGCUCUAAAGAUAAAUUGAAUUCUUGGCAGGGGAGUCCUAACAUCAUUAUAUUAUUGUUCUUUGACAGGUGUCUUUCCCUGAAAAGUUGGCUUCUAGAUGAUGUUGGGUGCAUUUUCUGUUUGCAUUUUCACUAAUCAGGCAACAACAUCAAAUCAUGUAAUUAUCCCCUUAAACUCAAUGUUGAUGCAUCUAAAUGCAGUACUCUUUUUAUGACUUGUGUUGAAUCCUUUUAAAUAUAUGUGUUAUAAAAUCAAGCUUGUUUCUUUAUGUAACUAAGUUUGGAGUAGUUUGGGUAUCUUUUAUUCAUUCGACCCUGUUGUUGGUUACACAUACUACCCAUUUCUUGGAUCAGAUACAUAGGUAUCAGCUUGACAUUUGUUGUCCUCACAUUAUUUCAACUCUGUUCUGAAACUUUACAAACAAUUUUCAGCUCUAAAUUUACAUGAAUAAUAUCAAAAUGUAGUUCCGUGAUAGCUUGAUGAUAGUUCUAGUAAUGCACUUGUGGGAAGGUGUAAUAUCUGCAUAAUAGGAUUUAUAUAGGAACUGAUAUUUCUACACGUGUUUUAACAUAAUCUUUUCUCACCUGAUCAUAAAGUAGGUCCCACAUUCAUGUGAAAGAUAACCAUAUGAAAAUAUUAAAAACAUACGUCUAAAUAAUUCAAGUCAAAAAAUGAGAUACGUUAGUCUACACUUUGGAGUAAUGCUACACUGACAAAAGAUUACUACAAAAAAGUGGAUACAAAAUGAUGUGUCACACCACCAUACAUGAGUAGCUCCAAUAGUUAUAACCAAUGACUAUUAUACACAUCACUUUGUAUUCUCAUUUUGUAUCCAAUCCUUUUUCACCAAAAUAUUAUUGCGACACUUGUAGUGGAUAGUUUGUUUUCAACAGUCUUCUGAACUGAGCGCUUGUACAUUUGGAAGGUUAAGGUACCUUGUCUUGAAUAGUAAGUUAUGAAUAAUUCAAGAAAAUUGAAAUCUUGUGCUCAUCUUCUCUUUGCUCUUCUAUUCUUUUUUAUACUUUCUUUCUUUUUGGUUUUUUAAAAUUAAUAUUUGAUUGCUCAAAAUAACAUGAUCAAUAAUGUAAAGUUCUUAACUGCAUUACUUAUAAUUCAUGCAUAUUAAAACACAUCAAUAUAACCUCUACUUUUAGAAUCUUUCUAAUACUUUCCAGUAAUAUAUAAUUUGUGCAUAGUAAAACACUUCAAUAUAAGCUAUAUUUUAAAAAUAUUUCUAAACUUUUCGAAUGAUAUAUGAUUUUAAAGAACUUUUGUGUUCAUUGUUAACACGUUCACAAGCUUCAAAACAUGAAACAAAUCACCUACUAUCAAAUAACUUGAACCACUAAAGUUCCAACUUCCAAGAAAGCAAGUAAAAAAGAAGAAGAUAAAACUAAAGAAAUAACUCUAUCAACCAAUAAAAGUAGGGAGGAUAAAUUUUAUAACUUAAUCAAAGUAUUUCACUGGAAACUACUUCACUGACAUAUGCAUUUCCCUAUGAAAGUUAUAAGAAAAAUACAUAGCUAAUUUCCAUUAUGUGCACACUACUAGUUUAGGACUAAAAAAGAAACAUAUGAGGGGCAACAUAGCUACCACCGGAAGAUGAUCAAAAUGUACUAUAAAUAGAAAGAUGUCUAAAAAGUGAUCUAACAUCACAUAGAAAACUGGAACAUGCCUCUUCCACACCAGAGCCCAAAAUUAGUUCAAUCAUCAUCUUCAUCCUACAAAACAGAAAUACUAAACUAAUCACUAAAACCAACCACAUACAUCUGAAACAUAAUUAAAAAGUGAAUAUUUAAAUUUCACAGAAACCUCUUCACUUCCCUCUUCAUCUUCCUCAUCAUUGACUUCAGAUUUAGACUUGUCAGAUUCCUCAUCAUCGUUACCUCCAACCUAAAUUCAUUCAAUGUUACAUUUUGUUCAAAACUAUGAUAAAUAAAAAUGUUUCAUACAAAAACUUAGAAAAAUCAUUACCAGUUUCUUGUUAUAGCUUUGAAGUUUCUUUUCAUACUCUUUCUUCCUUUGUUCUGCAUGUGCUACAAAUGGAGCCUUAUCCUAUAUUUAUCCAGAUAAUCACAAAUAAAUUAUUGGCACUGCUUUCUUCAAUAAUUUGCAACAUAUUAAUAUGUAGCUGCACAUUAUAUCCAAUCAAAGUAUGCAACUUUAAUUCCAAACUUAAUUACUUACAUCAUCUGACAUUGACCUCAGCUUAUCUCCACCAGCCUUACAAAUCUAUUUUUCAGUUAAUUUAAUGAUUAAAAACACAGUUAAUUACAAUAAUAAUAUACAAAUGCUAACAAAAAAAAUGAACACAAAAAUUAAAAUAACCAAAUGACUCACAACAGUCUUGUUUGAUUACUAAGAGGAGAUCAUCUUCCUCCUUUGAGCUCCAUCUCUUUCUAUGCUCUCUAUUUUCUCUUGAUGGCCUCUGUUCGUUCUGUCUCACUCUCUCGCAUAGCUUCAGCCAACUCAGAUUUGGAUCAGCUCGAUGGUACCAAACUACCAAUGCCAACAGUAUUGAAUCGAGGAAUGUGUCUUGCUCUAGGGUGCCACGGGAGGUCAGUUUCACUGGCCUGAUUGAUCAAGCUCUGUAAAAUGAGUUCGGCGAGGUGAUCCAAUUUAAGGUUCCUCCUAAAUCUGACCUCUUACUGUUUACAAUUUUUGUAUCCUGAAACUAUAAAAGAUCCACGGAGCUGAAUGUAUUUGAAAUCCUUCUGCAAGGUUGAAAUACAAUUUCUGGACAUGCUUUUGAGGAUGGAUUAUCAAGUCAGAUGACCUUGUGAUAAAGAUGGUCCAUGUAAUCUGUAGAAAAUAAGAACCUGAUUUUGGGAUAAUGAUUGCUUGAUUCAUUCUUCUCAAUUACAUUGGCUUAUAUACACAAGUAUCCUAUUUUACAGUGUACAUUAGUACCACGUAAUAACUCUAUUGUCUUUUUCUGCUUAUGAGCAAUACAGUGUACAUUAGUACCACGUAGCAACUCUAUUGUCUUUGUGUAUUGAUUUGGGCACUAAGUGCUUCUGGUGACCUAUUUGCUUCAUUUUUUUGACUUUGCUAUUAUUUUUAAAUAUGUGCAGGAAGACUGCUUCUACGACCUACCUUAUAAUACUUGGUAUCAAAUUUUUGUGCUAUGUUUACGGAAGAGAAGGGACAAAAUUUUGAAGUGUACUCUCUCUAUAUAUGUAGAUAUAUACUUUGAUUGAAGAACUGUGGUAGCUUUAGAUGGUAAAUUGUAAAGAUAAUGAAUGAUUACGUAGUGGAUGAUUUUUUUAAGUUACUAAUAUUUUAGUUUUUUAUAUUUUUGUCAUUAUUUGCUAUGGGGAUAUUGAGCCAGCUAGGUACACAAAAAGAAUGUUAAAUUUUGAUUUGGCAACAAUAUAAUUCGUUAGCAAAACAUUGAACAAGUUUUAAUAUAGCAAC